Molecule: ribosomal RNA, 405 nt
Filed under: uncultured bacterium
Lineage: Bacteria
Description: partial 16S ribosomal RNA
Rfam family: Bacterial small subunit ribosomal RNA
Source: RNAcentral
AUUGAACGCUGGCGGCAGGCUUAACACAUGCAAGUCGAACGAGUGGCGGACGGGUGAGUAAUGAUUGGGAACCUAGCUUAUGGAGGGGGAUAACUACUGGAAACUGUAGCUAAUACCGCAUACCAUCGGAUCAGCCCAAGUGGGAUUAGGUAGUUGGUGGGGUAAAGGCUCACCAAGGCGACGAUCCCUAGCUGGUCUGAGAGGAUGACCAGCGACACUGGGACUGAGAAACGGCCCAGACUCCGACGGGAGGCAGCAGUGGGGAAUAUUGGGCAAUGGGGGAAACCUGAUGCAGCCAUGCCGCGUGAAUGAAGAAGGCCUUCGGGUUGUAAAGUACUUUCGGUAGCGAGGCGUUAGCUACAGAAGAAGCACCGGCUAACUACGUGCCAGCAGCCGCGGUAAUUC